RNAcentral lists this ribosomal RNA (598 nucleotides) under Diaporthe sp. OR28. RNAcentral's name for it is "eukaryotic LSU rRNA". The stretch from base 236 to 389 matches the Rfam family "5.8S ribosomal RNA". The record is from RNAcentral. Lineage: Eukaryota; Fungi; Ascomycota; Sordariomycetes; Diaporthales; Diaporthaceae.
UAGAGGAAGUAAAAGUCGUAACAAGGUCUCCGUUGGUGAACCAGCGGAGGGAUCAUUGCUGGAACGCGCCCCAGGCGCACCCAGAAACCCUUUGUGAACUUAUACCUUACUGUUGCCUCGGCGCUAGCUGGUCCCUCGGGGCCCCUCACCCUCGGGUGUUGAGACAGCCCGUCGGCGGCCAACCUAACUCUUGUUUUUACACUGAAACUCUGAGCACAAAACAUAAAUGAAUCAAAACUUUCAACAACGGAUCUCUUGGUUCUGGCAUCGAUGAAGAACGCAGCGAAAUGCGAUAAGUAAUGUGAAUUGCAGAAUUCAGUGAAUCAUCGAAUCUUUGAACGCACAUUGCGCCCUCUGGUAUUCCGGAGGGCAUGCCUGUUCGAGCGUCAUUUCAACCCUCAAGCCUGGCUUGGUGAUGGGGCACUGCUUCUUACCCAAGGAGCAGGCCCUGAAAUUCAGUGGCGAGCUCGCCAGGACCCCGAGCGCAGUAGUUAAACCCUCGCUCUGGAAGGCCCUGGCGGUGCCCUGCCGUUAAACCCCCAACUUCUGAAAAUUUGACCUCGGAUCAGGUAGGAAUACCCGCUGAACUUAAGCAUAU